GUAACUCCAGCACUGCUCUGCCAUGUGACUGCUGGGUUGUAUAGGAGAUCCAUCCAUGCUGGCCUACUCCAAAGGACAUGUAAGCAAAUUAGCACUUUGAAGAAGGCUGCACGGGAGUGUCCAUAAUGCUGGCUUUCCUCCCAGUCAAGAAUCAAUCAUGGGACUCCUCCAGGAAAGCAUGUAUUGCCUGGCUGGAAGACUUGAGACACAUUCGGUUGACCAGUGUUCUUGGGCACCUACAAAUGCAUGUUUCAGUGCUUGGGUAGAAGUUAUCAUGCCUUAUUUUCCAAUUAAAAUAACACAAAUGUUAUUGUAGUUAUAGCCCAUUUCAUACAGUUUAAUGCUUAAUAAUUCUCUGCUUGCUUUCUUAUGUAAAACUUAUAUCUUCCCAUCUAGAUCAUAAACUCGCUGAGGGCAGGGAUCAUGGCUUUACUUCUUUUCAAUCCCCCACAGGACCAAACACAGGCUAGAGAAGCAUAAUACUGGGUGGUCAGCAGGGAAUGACCACAGGACAGUGUGGAGAUCUGGGUGGUUUCUGGGCCCCCGGCCCCAUCUAGCUGGUAUAAGACCUUCAGGAAGCACUUACAUUUCUGAGAUGUGAUUUCUUCAUCUUAAGAGUGCUCCACUUACCUCACUGGUUCGUUGAGAGGAUCAGGUAAGAUAAUGUAUAUGAAAGUAUUUUGUAAACCAAGAUUUGCUAGCUUUAAAGUGUGAGCAAUCAUCAGAAGAGGCAUUUAGUAAAAAUCUGAUUGAUUUGUAAUGAUAAAAUAUUGUCUUCCCUUCUUCCCUAUAUCCAGUUUUAGGGGUUUUAUUUCUCAGCAUUUAAUUUUAUCUGAGUGGCAAAGCCACUCCACAUCUUCCUGAUACCGUGUAGUGUGCAUUUCACCCUAUUGUUAAAGUUGGGUUGAAAUCUAAGCAAACCAACCAGAAAAGUCACCAAGCAUGCGAUGGUCACAUCUAUCACACAGGCCUCCUGGACACCAAUGCAUUUGUACCCCACUAGAGUUCCACGGCCUUUCUUGUGUCGCAUCUACCCACUCACACUGUACCCUAGGCAAGGAUUAUGUAUAUUUCUAUAUUCUAGCAUUUACUUGAUACAUGAGAGUGGCAGAUCAUCGCCCUAAGCCCAGGCCAGCUGAGAAGAAAAUGAAGAAGCUGCACCUUAUAUGAGAAAUUUUACAAAGGAAGACACUAUGAAACAGACUUUUAGAAUGGUUCAUUUAUUUAUAAUAUUUAUUUCCUACUUGUUCUUAGCAAAGAAGCAGUCUCUCUGUAGUACCAGAAUUCUAUACAAUUCAUGAGAAAACUCUCCUUUCAAACAUGGUUAUUCCUCAAAUACUUCUGUAAGAUAUAAAAUUUAGUCACAGGGUUUUUUUUCCUCACUUAACUCAUGAAAGCUGGAUGAGUCUAUUAUUUUCCAGGUUCGAUCACAGAGUAUCCACUGCAGGAUUAAGACACAGGGUUGAAGAAUUUUGUUGAUAUACUGAAUCCAAACCAAUUGUGAACUCCAUUAAUGAACAUAUUUAUGAUACCUUUUUUAUGGGCAUAUAAAGAGGAAUCUGUGUUUCAGAAUUAACUGAUCCAGAACAGUUUUUGGAAACCUUAUUUCUUUUCUUUUUAAAACUCAUUACGGAAAGUUUCAAACAUACCCAAAGGUAGAAGAAUAGUAUAAAUGACAGGUCCAUCAUUAUGGACCUGUCAUCCAGCUUCAACAUAGGGCCAAUCUUGUGAAUCCUCAUUUUUAAUCAAUAUUAGUAGCCAAUAAAAUUAAACUCACACUACAUGCUAAUUCAAAUCUCAUAACAUGUUUAUUUAUCUAUAGUUUCCUAAAAUAAUUGUAUUUUUGUCAGACACUCUUCUUUUUCAUUCUCGUAUCUCUCUCACUUCUCUUGAGGCUGAAGUGGGUCUAGCUUCUUACAUAGUCCAUACUAGAGGGAAAAUACUUAGCGAGAGGACAAGGUGGGACAUUUUAAAUUUAUUACUUUAUUAAUUUUUCUCUACCUGUGACAUUGUGCCUUGCUCCUUUUGACUAAAGUGUUGCAGGAAAAUAGUGAUAAUGGAAAAGGAGUCACUUCCAACAACAGAACUGAGUCUUUGUCCCUUUGCCCCAAUGAUAUAAUAGCGAGUGACAGAAUGAGGGGUCACUCCAUUCUUGAUCCUAACAAGAGAGAGAGCCAGCCCCAAGACAAAUAUUAUAACCCAAAUGUUUCAAGGCUGAGCAUUUCUUGUAUAUAUUAUUGAAUAUAUUAUUUUGAUAUAUCUUGAAUAUAUUAUUUAUUAGAUAUAUAUAAAAAUUUUGCAGAGUACAAAUAAUUUGCUGUAUGGAAUUAUUGUGGUAAGAUUCAUCAAAAUACAUACCAAUUUGUAGCCAAAUCAUACCCCCAGGGAAUCUAAAAUAAUAAUAAUUUUUUAAAAGAAGUAAGUUAGGGGUGCCUGGGUGGCUCAGUCGGUUAAGCAUCUGCCUUUGGCUCAGGUCAUGAUCCCAGGGUCCUGGGAUUGAGCCCCGCAUCUGGCUCCCUGCUUAGCGGGGAGUCUGUCCCUCUCCCUCUGCCUACCGCUCUGACUACUUGUGCUCGUUCUCUCUCUCCCAGUCAAAUAAAUAAAUAAAAUCUUUAAAAAAUAUAUUUAAAAACUAAAGAAGUAAGUUAGAAUGAUGAAGUUGGGUAGAAGUUAUAUGGCUUUAGCAAAACUUUGGUUUCUUCUUUUACAUUGUGCCCCAUGAUAAAACAGCAAAAUUCCUACCUAGAUGGUAACACUUGUACCAUUCGCUUAAUUUUAAGAUCCUCAGUUGCUCUUGGGAACAAGUAUACUGCUGUGGCAUGAAGUGGAAGGUAUAAUUUGAAGCCAGACUAGAGAAAAAAAGCUCCUUUUAGAAGUAAUGUAUUCAUGAAAAGGUAAAAGUAUCAAGAAAGGCUUAAUAAUUUCACCAAGUAAUCUAAAGCUAAAUUUCAUAUGCAAGUUCCUUACAGAACUAUAACAAACUUUGUAGAACUCAAGCCUUCCAUGGAAAAAGGUUUUAAGACUUCUUUUAAAACCAAUACCAAGGGAAUAGUCAGCCACAGAAUGUACUGCAGUCUUACUCACUGUUGUUUGCUUUAUCACUCAUGAGAACUUGCUUUGCAUUCAGUGAAGACUUAGAGAAAUGUAAGGAUGAAUACUUAUCAUAAUUCAUUCCCAUGUGGACUUUCAAAAUCCAGGAUAAUAGCUUUUCUUUUUCCUUCAAUAAUUAGACUCUGAAAGGAAUCUGGAAACUGCUACACACAGGAGUGGUGUUCAGUUGAAACAGGGCUCAUUUCCAGCUCUGCUUGAGUUCAUUGCUGUCUACGUGUGAUGUUGAAGGGAGUGAGGAAAAUAAACUUCCUUAAUUAUUACAUGGUGCCAAUGACCUUCCUCUACUUUUGAAGAAAUACAUUGCAUUUCUUCCUUAGUAUAUUCACAAUGAAUCUCUGAGAUACAGGGAUAUGGUUAUUCAGUCAGAAAAAAACAAAAAACAAAAACAUUUAAUUAUUUAAGAGACCUAAGCACUUCAUGUGAAAACUUUCAACUUAACAGAGGGGAGGGAAAUAACUCUUAAAAUAAGAUCAAGCCAGUAAACCUAAGGAAAGGGGAGCGGGGGGGGUGGGAGGGAAAACAACAACAACAACAACAAUGAAGCAUUGUAAGGAAUAAAAAAAAAAGAAUAAAAAUAAAUAUAUCUAUUACCAUAAAAAUUGAAUGAGUUGAAUUCCCCUUUCAAAAGACAAACUUUCAGAUUAUUUUGAAAGACAAAAUUAUGCUAUGUAUAAGAAAUUCACUUCAAACUAAGUGACAAAGAAAGUUUGAAAAUAAAUGAUUGGGUAGAUAUAUGUCAGACAAAUCCAAAACCAGGAGUGACAGUAUUAAUAUCAAAUUCAAGGCCAAAAACAUUAAAUAGGAACAAGAGGAUGGAAUGAUUAAGGGCACAGUGGCAGAGAUUGCUAGAUGCCUAUGCCAUCCAUGCCCAUCCCUUUUUCACCCUUGCUAACAAAACCUCAAUUUAAUUUGGCACAGCAAUGUGUACAGAUAAAAACGAAUUAAUUUUCCUAUCCUCUUUUACAACUGGGGUAGACAGUAAGUUGUAAGCAGAAGUUAGUGGGUGGGCCUGCAGAUGUCUAAUUAAGCUGGAAGCUACUCCUUUCUGCCUUCUUUUUCCACCUUCAUGACUGGAAUAUACAUGUGAUGGCUGGAGCUGCAGAAGCCAUUUUGCAACCAUGACUUGGAGAACAGACACCAGAUACUAAAAGGCAUCAGAGCAGGAAGACAAGUGGAGCUUGCAUUCCAGAUGACCAUGGAGCCUCUAUACCAGCCCUCAACUUUUUACCACCAGUGGCUGACGUGGGAAUCUGAAGAGAAUUGUAAUACGGGAUCAUAGAAAUGAAAGUAACCUGUGAAGUAGUUUCAUCUACCUCCUAUCCUUGAUGGACUCGUCUAUGGUGCUAUUAGGGGUACCUGGAGAGACUGGGUUGCUCAAGACUGAGCCCUCCAUUUACUUCAAGGGCAACUUCCUCCUGGUCACUCUCUAUCUUGUUAUAUGGAGGGGGCCACAAUAAGUGGGAUCUGCAUGGAGAAUAUACCCAGUGAAUGCCAAUGAUUUUCAGGGUUCUCCGCCUCCCUCACACAAUGGAAGAUGUGCAAGAGGUGCAGCAUUCUUCAUAUUAGAGCAAAGAUGGAGCCAGUUGAGAUGGAGAGUCUCUCAUGGAGAAACCGACUAAAAAGCAUCAAGGAGAAGAGAGGGGGCGAUCUGUUCUUCACAGCCGCAAAGCCAAGCUAGCUUUCUGCCUUGAUCUUUUAACAAACUUUAGCACACACCACUUCUUUUCAUUGGGAUGCAAUAUCGCUAAAGGGCAAGGUCACUUGAAAGAAAGCUGAACUUGGACUCAGACUCCAGGUUGAAGGAUUUAUAACACAGAACAAUUGUGGCCUGAUCACAAGUGAGUACUAGAGAAUGACUUCCCAACUUGAACACUAUAUUUCUAUUAAUAUAGCAAAAAAUUGAUUUUUUUUUGAGGUACAUCACACUGUGUUGACUCAUCAUCUACUAACAAUCUACAGGAGACUCUAAAUCUUCCUACGUGAGCAAUUGUAAGACACCUCACCCCCAAUCUAUACUUGUACAACUGAAUUUUGGAUCUUUGAGUACUUUACACUUGUCCCUAUUAAACUUUAUAUUGUUA
Molecule: long non-coding RNA, 5192 nt
Organism: Mirounga angustirostris (Northern elephant seal)
Lineage: Eukaryota; Metazoa; Chordata; Mammalia; Carnivora; Phocidae
Exons: 7
Source: RefSeq, a predicted model, not a curated record